GUGUCAGCAGCCGCGGUACUACGGAGGGUGCAAGCGUUAUCCGGAUUUAUUGGGUUUAAAGGGUCCGCAGGCGGACUUGUAAGUCAGUGGUGAAAGCCUUCAGCUUAACUGGAGAAUUGCCAUUGAUACUGCUGGUCUUGAGUUCGGUUGAAGUGGGCGGAAUAUGUAGUGUAGCGGUGAAAUGCAUAGAUAUUACAUAGAACACCUAUUGCGAAGGCAGCUCACUAAGCCGAUACUGACGCUCAGGGACGAAAGCGUGGGGAGCGAACAGGAUUAGAUACCCUGGUAGUCCACGCUGUAAACGAUGAUAACUCGCUGUUGGCGAUAUACUGUCAGCGGCCAAGCGAAAGCGUUAAGUUAUCCACCUGGGGAGUACGAUCGCAAGGUUGAA
RNAcentral lists this ribosomal RNA (391 nucleotides) under uncultured bacterium. RNAcentral describes it as "bacterial SSU rRNA". It matches the Rfam family "Bacterial small subunit ribosomal RNA", at positions 505 to 898 of the family's 1533-position model. The record is from RNAcentral.